Molecule: ribosomal RNA, 253 nt
Filed under: uncultured bacterium
Lineage: Bacteria
Description: partial 16S ribosomal RNA
Rfam family: Bacterial small subunit ribosomal RNA
Source: RNAcentral
UACGUAGGGUGCGAGCGUUGUCCGGAAUUACUGGGCGUAAAGAGCGCGCAGGCGGUCGAUUUAGUCGCGUGUGAAAGCCCCCGGCUCAACUGGGGAGGGUCACGCGAUACUGAUCGACUCGAAGGCAGGAGAGGGUAGUGGAAUUCCCGGUGUAGUGGUGAAAUGCGUAGAUAUCGUAAGGAAGACCAGUGGCGAAGGCGGGUCUCUGGACAGUUCCUGACGCUGAGGCACGAAGGUCAGGGGAGCAAACGGG